UACGAAGGUCCCAAGCGUUGUUCGGAAUCACUGGGCGUAAAGCGUACGUAGGCGGAUUGUUAAGUGAGGGGUGAAAUCCCGGGGCUCAACCCCGGAACUGCCUUUCAUACUGGCAAUCUUGAGUCCGAGAGAGGUGAGUGGAAUUCCGAGUGUAGAGGUGAAAUUCGUAGAUAUUCGGAGGAACACCAGUGGCGAAGGCGGCUCACUGGCUCGGUACUGACGCUGAGGUGCGAAAGCGUGGGGAGCAAACAGG
RNAcentral lists this ribosomal RNA (253 nucleotides) under uncultured bacterium. RNAcentral describes it as "partial 16S ribosomal RNA". It matches the Rfam family "Bacterial small subunit ribosomal RNA", at positions 524 to 776 of the family's 1533-position model. The record is from RNAcentral.